AUGGCCGCGGGGCGGUUCGCGUACUGGCGGUCGAACACCAAGAACUGGCAUGAGGAUGAAGAGAAGAUAUAUGUGCUUGACACGAAAACCAUGGUGUGGUCGGUUAUAACCGCGCCGUUCCCGGUUGGCGAGUCGUACUGCGUGGCGGACAUGGCGGAGCACGGCGGGUUGUGCAUCGUGUCUAGCAAGGAGCAAAGCGUGCUGCUCUGGGUCCGUGAUGUGAAUGGUUGGUGGGUGGUCAAGAAGGAGGUCCCCUUGCUGAAACAGUUCGGGUACUUGAAGAGGAUUCGUCGUGACGAAUGGAUGAAGAGGCUGCGCAUCCUCGCAAUGAAAGCCGGCUAUGUCUACAUUGAGUUUUGGUCCAUAAGGAAGUCUGAAUCCUAUAUUCUUGUGCUCAAUCUGAACACCGUCAAGCUGCAACAAAUCUUUUGCAACAAUGCGGAUGAGCGCUACAGAGGUGCUGCUUUUCCAUUCUUUCUGCGGUUGUCACCACUGCCUGCCGCAGAUGAUGACAAGGAGCUUCAAGAUGCUUGA
RNAcentral lists this ribosomal RNA (534 nucleotides) under Triticum aestivum (bread wheat). Its description in RNAcentral is "partial small subunit ribosomal RNA". The record is from RNAcentral. Lineage: Eukaryota; Viridiplantae; Streptophyta; Magnoliopsida; Poales; Poaceae.